ACAGAGGAGCUUGCUCCUCGGGUGACGAGUGGCGGACGGGUGAGUAAUGUCUGGGGAUCUGCCCGAUGGAGGGGGAUAACCACUGGAAACGGUGGCUAAUACCGCAUAACGUCGCAAGACCAAAGUGGGGGACCUUCGGGCCUCACACCAUCGGAUGAACCCAGAUGGGAUUAGCUAGUAGGUGGGGUAACGGCUCACCUAGGCGACGAUCCCUAGCUGGUCUGAGAGGAUGACCAGCCACACUGGAACUGAGACACGGUCCAGACUCC
This 269-nucleotide ribosomal RNA is filed under the name uncultured Enterobacteriaceae bacterium. Its description in RNAcentral is "partial 16S ribosomal RNA". It matches the Rfam family "Bacterial small subunit ribosomal RNA", at positions 70 to 339 of the family's 1533-position model. Lineage: Bacteria; Pseudomonadati; Pseudomonadota; Gammaproteobacteria; Enterobacterales; Enterobacteriaceae. The record is from RNAcentral.